This 327-nucleotide unclassified non-coding RNA is filed under the name fungal sp. RNAcentral describes it as "partial internal transcribed spacer region". The record is from RNAcentral. Lineage: Eukaryota; Fungi.
AAGUCGUAACAAGGUUUCCGUAGGUGAACCAUCCAACGUUAAACAACCCUGUGAACUUUCAACACCGCCGGAAUGAGAUUAAUUUCCAACUCCGGUGAAGGCAAGUGACCUGGCACCUGGACCACAUCAAAGCUCUGACAGAGUGCCUCUGGAUCGUGCUUGAAGGGUGACGCAGUAACGAUCGCUGGAGGCCCACACGGCCGGCGACUGGGUCAGCGAGCUAACGCUCCCUCAACAACCACUUAACAUGACGACAGUUCCUCUUUAACUUGAGUUGAGCUAUAACAAAAAACUAUACAACUGUUAACAAUGGAUAUCUUGGUUCUC